RNAcentral lists this ribosomal RNA (253 nucleotides) under uncultured bacterium. Its description in RNAcentral is "partial 16S ribosomal RNA". It matches the Rfam family "Bacterial small subunit ribosomal RNA", at positions 524 to 776 of the family's 1533-position model. The record is from RNAcentral.
UACGUAGGGGGCAAGCGUUGUCCGGAAUCAUUGGGCGUAAAGAGCGUGUAGGCGGCCCGGUAAGUCCGCUGUAAAAGUCAAAGGCUCAACCUUUGAAUGUCAGUGGAUACUGCCGGGCUAGAGUCCGGAAGAGGCGAGUGGAACUCCUGGUGUAGCGGUGGAAUGCGCAGAUAUCAGGAAGAACACCAACGGCGAAGGCAGCUCGCUGGGACGGUACUGACGCUGAGGCGCGAAAGCCAGGGGAGCGAACGGG